CCUACGGGAGGCAGCAGUAGGGAAUCUUUCACAAUGGGCGAAAGCCUGAUGGAGCAACGCCGCGUGCAGGAUGAAGGCCUUCGGGUUGUAAACUGCUUUUAUAAGCGAGAAAUAUGAUGGUAACUUAUGAAUAAGGAUCGGCUAACUACGUGCCAGCAGCCGCGGUCAUACGUAGGAUCCGAGCAUUAUCCGGAGUGACUGGGUGUAAAGAGUUGCGUAGGUGGCAUAAUAAGUAGCUAGUGAAAUCUGGUGGCUCAACCAUUCAGACUAUUAGCUAAACUGUUAAGCUCGAGACCGUUAGGGGUAACUGGAAUUUCUAGUGUAGGAGUGAAAUCCGUAGAUAUUAGAAGGAACACCAAUAGCAUAGGCAGGUUGCUGGGACGGUUCUGACACUAAGGCACGAAAGCGUAGGGAGCAAACGGGAUUAGAUACCCUUGUAUUC
Molecule: ribosomal RNA, 442 nt
Filed under: uncultured bacterium
Lineage: Bacteria
Description: partial 16S ribosomal RNA
Rfam family: Bacterial small subunit ribosomal RNA
Source: RNAcentral